CAUUCAUGGUGAGGACAAUCUGAUAUCUAUCCUUGAAAACGCUCCCAUGCUUCUAGAAUGGUUUCUGUCUUCUGCCGUUGGAAACUGACAAUAUUUCCUCUUAAGG
RNAcentral lists this small nucleolar RNA (106 nucleotides) under Sorghum bicolor (sorghum). RNAcentral describes it as "Plant small nucleolar RNA R71". It matches the Rfam family "Plant small nucleolar RNA R71". Rfam says of the family: R71 is a member of the C/D box family of snoRNAs containing the C (UGAUGA) and D (CUGA) box motifs. Multiple nearly identical copies of this snoRNA have been identified in Arabidopsis, and it is thought to function as a 2'-O-ribose methylation guide for 18S ribosomal RNA. The record is from Rfam by way of RNAcentral. Lineage: Eukaryota; Viridiplantae; Streptophyta; Magnoliopsida; Poales; Poaceae.